Long non-coding RNA from Capsicum annuum, 975 nucleotides. RefSeq lists it as uncharacterized. The transcript is spliced from 4 exons. Lineage: Eukaryota; Viridiplantae; Streptophyta; Magnoliopsida; Solanales; Solanaceae. The record is from RefSeq and is a predicted model, not a curated record.
ACUUUACUUUUGUGGGUUUGUUGUUGUUGUAUACUUUUCUUUUGUUAAAUAACUCCAAUCAAACCGAAAAAACAUGAUAUUUCAAACAAAUCCUGUGUCUUUCGGAAAUCCUUCAUCUUUUCUUUACGCGUUUUCUCACAUCCUUGUAUUAGUUUAUCCUGCACUCUCUAAUUCUCUUAAUAAUACUUUAAAUUCUUAUAUACAUGUUAAAUUCUCAGUUACUCAUACAGAAAUCUGAAAAUAAAAAUGAAAAUUCCAAAGUUGAGGUUUGAUGUGCCGGAGCAAUAAUGAAAGCAAGAAAAAGUUUGUAUUUCUGACGCUAGAAAAUGGAAUGAAAAUGAAACUUCUAAAUUGUACCGAGAAAAUCUGGAGAUACUUUUGACACACACAAAAUGUUAGAUGGAAUGCUCCAUAGAGAAACCUUUAUACUGUUUCAGUGAUGUUGUUGACGUGUAUCUUCAGAAGCUGUGACUUCCUAGAUAUACUUGAAAGAUCCAAUCUUGAAGGGCGUUAAAGGAAGGAAAGAUGACUCGAGAGCAGUAUGAAAAAGCGUGCACUCUUUUGAAGGGUGUUUUGAGCUAUGAUACCUUCAACGACGUGGAUCUAGUCAUAGAGGUCCUAGCUCGAGUGCGCCUCAUCUUACUUGAUUCGGGCGGUUGUUGGAGCUUCCAAGGUAUCGAUUGGACAUUCAUGCGUCCGAAGUUCACCUCUAUCUUUCUAUACUAGUUAUGUGUUUAUUAGUAUUCGAAGUUCACCUCUAUCUUUCUAUACUAGUUAUGUGUUUAUUAGUAUUCAGAGACAGUUAUUAUUCCUUUAUGGUUAUUUUUUCGAUGCAUUUGACUUUUGGAUUGUAUUAGUAGUUCUUACACUAUUGACACCUAGUUUUGGGCAUAUUGGUGUUUUGGAUAAGUUCUUUCCGCAUUGUUAUAAUUAUUUAUAUGGUUCGGCUUCAUUCUAGAAACCUUACCUUGGGUA